This is a long non-coding RNA of Erinaceus europaeus (western European hedgehog), 376 nucleotides long. RefSeq lists it as uncharacterized. Lineage: Eukaryota; Metazoa; Chordata; Mammalia; Eulipotyphla; Erinaceidae. The transcript is spliced from 3 exons. The record is from RefSeq and is a predicted model, not a curated record.
GCCACCCCAGCAUGCUUCACUUCAGACUGUGCCCAGAGACUUCAGGUGUGGAAUGACAACCCUUCAGCAGCCUCAUUACUCAGGACACAAUGCUGAAUGGAAGUGACAGAGGGGAAAAAAAAAUCCAGUGGAGAUAGGAGACACAGAAGACACAUAUAAAGGCCCCACUCAGACUCCAGCCCCUGCUGUUUACCAUCAGGAGCCCCGUCGCACACCACUAGGUCCGCAGAACUGCCCUCGAAGUGCCGGAUAAUCUCCUUGGCAGUAGACAGCUAUGGAAGAAAAGGAAGGGACCUUGGAAGAGCUGGAACUCCUCAUCGAGCUGUAGCAGUUUGAAGGCGCUGCGGGCACGCCAGCCGUUCUCCUUGGCCAGGCG